UUCCUUCCAAGCACCACAGUUGAAGAAACAUUUUUUCUUUUUAGCCUUAUGCAAAUGGUAAAUUCACAACAGCACAGAGGUAUCUAAAAAAUGAAAAAAUGUGUCUCCUCUCCUCUUCCCCCACUAAUCUCUCUUUCCAAAAGGCUCGCCAGUGCAGAGAGACAGACGGACGGACACAGAGAGCAGAGGCUCGCCAGUGCGGGGUAGGAGACCUGAACCGUGACUGAGGAACUGCUGGAAGUUCAGUGUUGACUGAGAAUUCCAGGGUUCCAGGCAACCCCGUCAUUCGGGCCCCCACAUCACUGCGAGAUUUACCUCAGGAGCUCCGCCAGGCUCCCACAAAAGAAGAGGUGUGGUGAACAUCUUUAAACAUGGAUCCUUCCUGGCGUGCUUUUCAAGUGUGCUCUUGGUUAAGUUCUGAGCACAAUUACUGGGCCAAAGAACUGGUGGAGCUCUGAGAAGGUACCUCUGUGCCUGAUGUCACUGGGAUUGCCCUGCGUGCUCUCUGCUGCAGCUGCACGCCUGCCCGUGGUCCUGCCCUGCCACCCUGCUUUGGGCAGUGUCUGGGGCUUGGUUGGAGAGCCCGUCCUUGUCUCCUGGAGUCCCUCAUGUACCUCUGUUAAAUUCCCAGGCUGCUUGGCGUGACCAGCUUUCCCCUUGAUCUGAUUGCAUCUGCUUCAUUUCUUUCAGGAAUUCCUUUGUAAAUUUGGUUCUGUUUCCAGGGCUGACACAGGCUUUCUCCCGCUUUCUGUUUCUUGGGUUGUCUCAGUGGGAUGUGUUUUUGAAGGAAAAGAAAGAGGUAAGUUUGCUUAGCUCUUUCCCUGCUGUUGGGCUCAGGAGUUGUGUCCAAGUUUUCAAUGUUACAGGUGACGUGGAGCCCCUGUUUUUAUACUUUUUUAUUGCAAAUAAGACCCCACUCCCAUUCUAACAGUCAGGGCUUAUGUUGAGCACCUGUGAGCAUCUGGCUGACUAAGCAGUGCUGAUCUGACUGGCAUUGGACCCGCACAGCAGCAGUCAGGAGACUACAGAUGGGAGCGGUUGGCGAGGAGGCAGAGCCUUGAAAUGGAGACCAAGUCGCCUGCUGUGGCUUGGGCCAAGGCCUUCUCUUUCUUCUAAAAGAUGCCUUUCUAGUGCUAGGCCUUUCCCGUUUGCUGUCACCCUCCUCUUCCUGGGAACAGGAAGUGUCAAAGCUUGCAUAGAUCCAGAACAGUGGGUCAUGGCCACUGUCCUGGUGAGAGAAGGACCACGAUGGGGCCAGCUGGGCACUAGUAUUGGGAUAAAAGCCCCUGUGGUUUCUGUUUUCCUUUCUCCUGUUACACGUAGGCUGGUGAGUGCAGAUUUCAGCAACUUUUUCUCUUGUGAUCACAUCUGAACUCUGGGGUUUGGUUGUUGGAGGGGUGAAAUCAAGCAGAUGUGAAGACCUAAGUCUGUCAAACUUUGCAGGCCUAAUUAGAUUUUGAGAAAGGGGUACUUCCUGUGGCUGAGCCCAGGAGGCUUAUGAUCUGCACUGGUGUAUUAUUCUAUGCACAUCUUCUCUAAUACCCUUACGAGGAGGGGUAUUUGGUUAAGAUCAGGGUUUAGGUAUUUUUGGGUCUCCUAACCAUGCUUAUAACCUUGUAAUAGUGCCAGAAUUGUACCAUUCCUUUAAGAACAGAUUUAGGAAACUGAGUCAAGGAAACAGUUAAUCUCUUCAGGAAGAGUAGUUGUUCUAACAUCAGAGCUCAGGAGGUAGCUGGAUGCACCUCAAUAGACAAUUCCCAACUUCAGUUGACUUGAUUUUUUUUUUGAUUAGUGGGAGAACAUUUUGAAAAGUACAUAAGUAAUACAUGGAUACACUCAUAGUAAAAUCAGAGUAAAAGGGGAGAAUUUGCCUUUGUUACAACCUUGCCCCACCCUGUGCCCCCCUUAGAAGCUGGGUGAACUGAUUCAGCAUGUACUCUUCCAGGCCGCCAUAUUCUGUGCCCUUGUAAAUCUUCACGUGUACAAAUACAGUAUAUAGAUUUUAAGGUUUUGUUUGUUUUACAUAAAUAGCAUCAUAUAUUCUUCCAUUUGUAAUAAUUGGUGACCAUUUUCAAGAAACUAGUGUCAGAGACAAAUGCUGCUGCCAAAUGCAGGGUAUGUGGGGGUGGAGACGACACCUUGGGUCAACAUGUCUUUGGGGAGUUAAUAAAUUUGUAUAGCUUUUUACAAUUUGUCAAGAUGCCCUUUCAGCUUUUUCCAAAAGUGGAAUUAAAGGCAUUUUUGUAAUUGUCGUACCAUGCCAAAUAGCUUUCCAGAAGGACUGAGCCACGUUACGUGGUUAUCAGCAACAUGAAUGUAUCCUGGGGUCUCCAUCUUUAGUUAGCUUGUUUCCUUGCUGGGUACAUAAUGAUACCUUUAGUUUACUUUUCCUUGAUUGUUGGCAAG
Molecule: long non-coding RNA, 2406 nt
Filed under: Equus asinus (donkey)
Lineage: Eukaryota; Metazoa; Chordata; Mammalia; Perissodactyla; Equidae
Description: lncRNA (ENSEASG00005031757.1)
Source: RNAcentral